Molecule: ribosomal RNA, 448 nt
Filed under: uncultured bacterium
Lineage: Bacteria
Description: bacterial SSU rRNA
Rfam family: Bacterial small subunit ribosomal RNA
Source: RNAcentral
CCAGACUCCUACGGGAGGCAGCAGUGGGGAAUAUUGGGCAAUGGGCGCAAGCCUGACCCAGCAACGCCGCGUGAAGGAAGAAGGCUUUCGGGUUGUAAACUUCUUUUAAGAGGGACGAAACAAAUGACGGUACCUCUUGAAUAAGCCACGACUAACUACGUGCCAGCAGCCGCGGUAAUACGUAGGUGGCAAGCGUUAUCCGGAUUUAUUGGGUGUAAAGGGCGUGUAGGCGGGAAAGCAAGUCAGAUGUGAAAUCCGGAGGCUCAACCGCCGAAUUGCAUUUGAAACUGUUUUUCUUGAGUACUGGAGAGGCAGACGGAAUUCCUUGUGUAGCGGUGAAAUGCGUAGAUAUAAGGAGGAACACCAUUGGCGAAGGCGGUCUGCUGGACAGCAACUGACGGUGAGGCGCGAAAGCGUGGGGAGCAAACAGGAUUAGAUACCCCAGUAU